RNAcentral lists this ribosomal RNA (253 nucleotides) under uncultured bacterium. RNAcentral's name for it is "partial 16S ribosomal RNA". It matches the Rfam family "Bacterial small subunit ribosomal RNA", at positions 524 to 776 of the family's 1533-position model. The record is from RNAcentral.
UACGAAGGGUGCGAGCGUUAUUCGAAAUUACUGGGCGUCAAGGGUGCGUAGACGGUAUGUUAAGUUUGUUGUUACAGACUCUGGCCUAACUGGAGGGUUGCAAUGAAAACUGGCGUACUAGAGGGUGAGAGAGAGAAGUGGAAUUCCCGGAGUAGCGGUAAAAUGCGUGGAUCUCGGGAGGAACACCAAUGGCGAAGGCAGCGUAUUGGCUCAUAUCUGACGUUGAGGCACGAAAGCGUGGGGAGCAAACAGG